Pantherophis guttatus is the source of this 198-nucleotide long non-coding RNA. RefSeq lists it as uncharacterized. The record is from RefSeq and is a predicted model, not a curated record. Lineage: Eukaryota; Metazoa; Chordata; Lepidosauria; Squamata; Colubridae.
AUGCCUUCCUAGAGAUAAGCUGCUCUUCAGUAGGGCUCCUGGACUCUGGGGAAGCUUCCCUCUUUUUGUAGACAACUUUUACAGAGAGAUCCAGAAUGGCAUAGUGAUUACGAUGCUGGAAUGAAUGCCACCCUGUGACGUUGAUUGUGCUGGGAGCAUAACUGAAUCAAAGUAAACAAGACAGCUUUCAUACCUAAA